This 281-nucleotide ribosomal RNA is filed under the name uncultured bacterium. RNAcentral's name for it is "partial 16S ribosomal RNA". It matches the Rfam family "Bacterial small subunit ribosomal RNA", at positions 335 to 607 of the family's 1533-position model. The record is from RNAcentral.
AGUGCCCACGGGACGCAGCAGUAGGGAAUCUUCCACAAUGGGCGAAAGCCUGAUAGAGCAACGCCGCGUGGGUGAAGAAGGUCUUCGGAUCGUAAAACCCUGUUGUUAGAGAAGAAAGUGCGUGAGAGUAACUGUUCACGUUUCGACGGUAUCUAACCAGAAAGCCACGGCUAACUACGUGCCAGCAGCCGCGGUAAUACGUAGGUGGCAAGCGUUAUCCGGAUUUAUUGGGAGUAAAGGGAACGCAGGCGGGCUUUUAAGUCUGAUGUGAAAGCCUUCGG